AGUGAACGCUGGCGGCAGGCCUAACACAUGCAAGUCGAACGGAAGCACAGUAAGCGUUUGCUCUUACCGGUGGCGGGUGGCGGGCGGGUGACGCGUACAUCGGCAUCUACUUUUUCGUGGAGGAUAACGUAGGGCAGGUUACGAUACUACAGCAUAUGUCGUACCGGUGAAAGCAGGGGAUAUUCGCGCCUUGCGCGUUUGAAUGAGCCGAUGUCGGACUAGCUAGUUGGCUGGGUAAAGGCCCACCAAGGCGACGAUCCGUAGCUGGUCUGAGAGGAUGAUCAGCCACACUGGAACUGAGACACGGUCCAGACUCCUACGGGAGGCAGCAGUGGGGAAUAUUGGGCAAUGGGCGCAAGCCUGAUCCAGCCAUACCGCGUGAGUGAAGAAGGCCUUCGGGUCGUAAAGCCCUGUUGUUGGGAAAGAAAAGCUGUAGAUUAAUACCCCGCUGUUCUGACGGUACCCAAUGAAUAAGCACCGGCUAACUACGUG
This 492-nucleotide ribosomal RNA is filed under the name uncultured bacterium. Its description in RNAcentral is "partial 16S ribosomal RNA". It matches the Rfam family "Bacterial small subunit ribosomal RNA", at positions 29 to 507 of the family's 1533-position model. The record is from RNAcentral.